UGGGGAGUCGUCUAACGGUAAGACGCCUGACUCUGGAUCAGGUAAUUGGGGUUCGAAUCCCUGCUCCCCAGCCA
RNAcentral lists this transfer RNA (74 nucleotides) under Chloroflexota bacterium. RNAcentral's name for it is "tRNA-Gln". It matches the Rfam family "tRNA". Rfam says of the family: Transfer RNA (tRNA) molecules are approximately 80 nucleotides in length. Lineage: Bacteria; Bacillati; Chloroflexota. The record is from RNAcentral. RNAcentral also lists the same sequence under 1 other name.